RNAcentral lists this ribosomal RNA (1382 nucleotides) under uncultured bacterium. RNAcentral describes it as "bacterial SSU rRNA". It matches the Rfam family "Bacterial small subunit ribosomal RNA", at positions 18 to 1395 of the family's 1533-position model. The record is from RNAcentral.
CCUGGCUCACGAUGAACGCUAGCUACAGGCUUAACACAUGCAAGUCGAGGGGCAGCAUGGUCUUAGCUUGCUAAGGCCGAUGGCGACCGGCGCACGGGUGAGUAACACGUAUCCAACCUGCCGUCUACUCUUGGACAGCCUUCUGAAAGGAAGAUUAAUACAAGAUGGCAUCAUGAGUCCGCAUGUUCACAUGAUUAAAGGUAUUCCGGUAGACGAUGGGGAUGCGUUCCAUUAGAUAGUAGGCGGGGUAACGGCCCACCUAGUCUUCGAUGGAUAGGGGUUCUGAGAGGAAGGUCCCCCACAUUGGAACUGAGACACGGUCCAAACUCCUACGGGAGGCAGCAGUGAGGAAUAUUGGUCAAUGGGCGAGAGCCUGAACCAGCCAAGUAGCGUGAAGGAUGACUGCCCUAUGGGUUGUAAACUUCUUUUAUAGAGGAAUAAAGUCGGGUAUGGAUACCCGUUUGCAUGUACUUUAUGAAUAAGGAUCGGCUAACUCCGUGCCAGCAGCCGCGGUAAUACGGAGGAUCCGAGCGUUAUCCGGAUUUAUUGGGUUUAAAGGGAGCGUAGAUGGAUGUUUAAGUCAGUUGUGAAAGUUUGCGGCUCAACCGUAAAAUUGCAGUUGAUACUGGAUAUCUUGAGUGCAGUUGAGGCAGGCGGAAUUCGUGGUGUAGCGGUGAAAUGCUUAGAUAUCACGAAGAACUCCGAUUGCGAAGGCAGCCUGCUAAGCUGCAACUGACAUUGAGGCUCGAAAGUGUGGGUAUCAAACAGGAUUAGAUACCCUGGUAGUCCACACGGUAAACGAUGAAUACUCGCUGUUUGCGAUAUACUGCAAGCGGCCAAGCGAAAGCGUUAAGUAUUCCACCUGGGGAGUACGCCGGCAACGGUGAAACUCAAAGGAAUUGACGGGGGCCCGCACAAGCGGAGGAACAUGUGGUUUAAUUCGAUGAUACGCGAGGAACCUUACCCGGGCUUAAAUUGCAGAUGAAUUACGGUGAAAGCCGUAAGCCGCAAGGCAUCUGUGAAGGUGCUGCAUGGUUGUCGUCAGCUCGUGCCGUGAGGUGUCGGCUUAAGUGCCAUAACGAGCGCAACCCUUGUUGUCAGUUACUAACAGGUUCCGCUGAGGACUCUGACAAGACUGCCAUCGUAAGAUGUGAGGAAGGUGGGGAUGACGUCAAAUCAGCACGGCCCUUACGUCCGGGGCUACACACGUGUUACAAUGGGGGGUACAGAGGGCCGCUACCACGCGAGUGGAUGCCAAUCCCCAAAACCUCUCUCAGUUCGGACUGGAGUCUGCAACCCGACUCCACGAAGCUGGAUUCGCUAGUAAUCGCGCAUCAGCCACGGCGCGGUGAAUACGUUCCCGGGCCUUGUACACACCGCCC